AGACUUAAAGGGAUUGAGAUAGGAAAGCGUGCAAUGAGCUACUUCGUAUGCUGCCACUGCAACCUGGACCCGGAUAAGUGGCAGAAAAUGAAUGAAU
This is a long non-coding RNA of Thalassophryne amazonica, 97 nucleotides long. RefSeq lists it as uncharacterized. The record is from RefSeq and is a predicted model, not a curated record. The transcript has 3 exons. NCBI's taxonomy places the organism in Eukaryota, Metazoa, Chordata, Actinopteri, Batrachoidiformes, Batrachoididae.